This 460-nucleotide ribosomal RNA is filed under the name uncultured bacterium. Its description in RNAcentral is "partial 16S ribosomal RNA". It matches the Rfam family "Bacterial small subunit ribosomal RNA", at positions 338 to 795 of the family's 1533-position model. The record is from RNAcentral.
CCUACGGGAGGCAGCAGUGAGGAAUAUUGGUCAAUGGGCGCAAGCCUGAACCAGCCAAGUCGCGUGAGGGAUGACGGUCCUAUGGAUUGUAAACCUCUUUUGUCGGGGAGCAAGGCCCGCCACGUGUGGCGGGAAGGAGAGUACCCGAAGAAAAAGCAUCGGCUAACUCCGUGCCAGCAGCCGCGGUAAUACGGAGGAUGCGAGCGUUAUCCGGAUUUAUUGGGGUUAAAGGGUGCGUAGGAGGAAGGUUAAGUCAGCGGUAAAAUGUCGGUGCUCAACACCGGCCUGCCGUUGAAACUGGUCUUCUUGAGUGAGCGAGAAGUAUGCGGAAUGCGUGGUGUAGCGGUGAAAUGCAUAGAUAUCACGCAGAACUCCGAUUGCGAAGGCAGCAUACCGGCGCUCAACUGACGCUGAGGCACGAAAGCGUGGGGAUCGAACAGGAUUAGAUACCCGAGUAGUC